Chlorocebus sabaeus (green monkey) is the source of this 102-nucleotide unclassified non-coding RNA. It matches the Rfam family "Y RNA". Rfam says of the family: Y RNAs are components of the Ro ribonucleoprotein particle (Ro RNP), in association with Ro60 and La proteins. The Y RNAs and Ro60 and La proteins are well conserved, but the function of the Ro RNP is not known. The record is from Ensembl. Lineage: Eukaryota; Metazoa; Chordata; Mammalia; Primates; Cercopithecidae.
GGCUGGUCCAAUGGUAGUGGGUGAUGAGAACUUAUUAACAUUAGUGUCAGUAAAGUUGGUAUUCAACCCCCCACCCAGCCACUGCUGCAUUUCACUGGGAAA